CCCUUAGAUGUUCUGGGCCGCACGCGCGCUACACUGUUCGACGCAGCGAGUCUUAACCUUGACCGAAAGGUUUGGGUAAUCUUCAGCAAAGUCGAACGUGAUGGGGAUCGAUCAUUGCAAUUAUUGAUCGUGAACGAGGAAUUCCUAGUAAGUGCAAGUCAUCAGCUUGCGCUGAUUACGUCCCUGCCCUUUGUACACACCGCCCGUCGCUACUACUGAUUGAAUGGUUUAGUGAGAUCUCUGGAUUGACGCUGGCUAGGGGGCGACCCUUGGCCAGACUGUUGAGAAACUGCUCAAACUUGAUCAUUUAGAGGAAGUAAAAGUCGUAACA
This 331-nucleotide ribosomal RNA is filed under the name uncultured eukaryote. RNAcentral's name for it is "partial 18S ribosomal RNA". It matches the Rfam family "Eukaryotic small subunit ribosomal RNA", at positions 1470 to 1796 of the family's 1831-position model. The record is from RNAcentral.